UACAGAGGCCCCGAGCAUUAUCCGGAUUUACUGGGCGUAAAGGGUGUGUAGGUGGCAAAGUUAGUCUUUCGUUAAAACCCGGGGCUCAACCCCGGACUCGCGAAGGAAACGGCUUAGCUCGAGGAUACGAGAGGUUAAGGGAACUCAUGGUGUAGGGGUGAAAUCCGUUGAUAUCAUGGGGAACACCAAAUGCGAAGGCACUUAACUGGCGUAUUCCUGACACUGAAACACGAAAGCGUGGGUAGCGAAUGGG
This 253-nucleotide ribosomal RNA is filed under the name uncultured bacterium. RNAcentral describes it as "partial 16S ribosomal RNA". It matches the Rfam family "Bacterial small subunit ribosomal RNA", at positions 524 to 776 of the family's 1533-position model. The record is from RNAcentral.